GGAGGCUGAGGCAGGAGAAUCGCUUGAGCCCAGGAGGCAGAGAUUGUGGUAAGCCAAGAACGUACCACUGCACUCCAGCCUGGGUGACAGAGUGAGACCCUGUCUCA
This is a long non-coding RNA of Nomascus leucogenys (northern white-cheeked gibbon), 107 nucleotides long. RefSeq lists it as uncharacterized. The transcript is spliced from 2 exons. Lineage: Eukaryota; Metazoa; Chordata; Mammalia; Primates; Hylobatidae. The record is from RefSeq and is a predicted model, not a curated record.